UGGGGAUGACGUCAAAUCAUCAUGCCCCUUAUGACCUGGGCUACACACGUGCUACAAUGGACAGAACAAAGGGCAGCGAAACCGCGAGGUUAAGCCAAUCCCACAAAUCUGUUCUCAGUUCGGAUCGCAGUCUGCAACUCGACUGCGUGAAGCUGGAAUCGCUAGUAAUCGCGGAUCAGCAUGCCGCGGUGAAUACGUUCCCGGGCCUUGUACACACCGCCCGUCACACCACGAGAGUUUGUAACACCCGAAGUCGGUGAGGUAACCUUUUAGGAGCCAGCCGCCGAAGGUGGGACAGAUGAUUGGGGUGAAGUCGACAAGGGGGGCCAACAACAAGGGCCCCUCGCCCCUCCUG
RNAcentral lists this ribosomal RNA (355 nucleotides) under Bacillus velezensis. Its description in RNAcentral is "bacterial SSU rRNA". It matches the Rfam family "Bacterial small subunit ribosomal RNA", at positions 1174 to 1533 of the family's 1533-position model. Lineage: Bacteria; Bacillati; Bacillota; Bacilli; Caryophanales; Bacillaceae. The record is from RNAcentral.